GUGCCAGCCGCCGCGGUAAUACGUAGGGAGCAAGCGUUGUCCGGAAUUACUGGGUGUAAAGGGAGCGUAGGCGGGAUGGCAAGUCAGGUGUGAAAACUAUGGGCUCAACUCAUAGAUUGCACUUGAAACUGUUGUUCUUGAGUGAAGUAGAGGUAAGCGGAAUUCCUGGUGUAGCGGUGAAACGCGUAGAGAUCGGGAGGAACACCAGUGGCGAAGGCGGCCUGCUGGGCUUUAACUGACGCUGAAGCACGAAAGCAUGGGUAGCAAACAGGAUUAGAUACCCUGGUAGUCCAUGCCGUAAACGAUGAUUACUAGGUGUGGGGGGUCUGACCCCUUCCGUGCCGGAGUUAACACAAUAAGUAAUCCACCUGGGGAGUACGACCGCAAGGUUGAAACUCAAAGGAAUAGGCGG
RNAcentral lists this ribosomal RNA (412 nucleotides) under uncultured bacterium. RNAcentral describes it as "bacterial SSU rRNA". It matches the Rfam family "Bacterial small subunit ribosomal RNA", at positions 505 to 916 of the family's 1533-position model. The record is from RNAcentral.